This 77-nucleotide transfer RNA is filed under the name Pseudoalteromonas sp. A41-2. Its description in RNAcentral is "tRNA-His". It matches the Rfam family "tRNA". From Rfam's summary of the family: Transfer RNA (tRNA) molecules are approximately 80 nucleotides in length. Their secondary structure includes four short double-helical elements and three loops (D, anti-codon, and T loops). The record is from RNAcentral. Lineage: Bacteria; Pseudomonadati; Pseudomonadota; Gammaproteobacteria; Alteromonadales; Pseudoalteromonadaceae.
GCGGCUGUAGCUCAGUUGGUAGAGCCCCCGGAUUGUGAUUCCGGUUGUCGUGGGUUCAAGCCCCAUCAGUCGCCCCA